RNAcentral lists this unclassified non-coding RNA (424 nucleotides) under Bombus terrestris (buff-tailed bumblebee). RNAcentral describes it as "misc RNA ENSBTSG00005020832.1". The record is from RNAcentral. Lineage: Eukaryota; Metazoa; Arthropoda; Insecta; Hymenoptera; Apidae.
GUGACAGCGUGCGUUUCAAAAGCGGAUUAGUUCCGGUAUUGUAUUUACAGGUGGUCGUGAAGUGAACGGCUUAGUUGCAAAAUUGGUCGUGCGGUUCGUGAUGCAUCAUAACUCGCGGUAUUCGUUGUGUUCCGACGGUUUUUCAAAUCCUCAUGGAAACAACUUUUCACGAUAAUUGACGCUCUCGAAAGCUGGUUGCUGAAUAUUGUUUUAUUUGGAGAUAUUAGCAAGAUCGAUAAGAAACAGAUGGAAAUAAUGCUCGUCCUUUUAAAAAAUAUUUUAGAUCUAUUUAUAGCAACGCAUGAACUAGAGGACAAUUCAAAUCAUGUUGUUGUUUUGCCUCGGAGUAUCAAGAUCGUUAGGAUACUCGUAAUGUAAUAAUAAACUCCGGACAAAACAAUGUCGCCGCUACGUGCAACCGUCG